Molecule: unclassified non-coding RNA, 2067 nt
Filed under: Ooceraea biroi (clonal raider ant)
Lineage: Eukaryota; Metazoa; Arthropoda; Insecta; Hymenoptera; Formicidae
Description: zinc finger Ran-binding domain-containing protein 2, transcript variant X6
Source: RNAcentral
UCGUAAUCACAGAUGCGCAGCACGAGCAAUUACUCUCAUACUUCGCUGGUGCGCCAGCACGACUAAUGUUAUCUGUAGUCUGAUUCGUAAUCUGUCGCCGAGUUCGCUCGUAUUGAGAACAAGAUACGAAGGAUACAGUAUGAUACAGUAGUUGCAGCGCGAGGUAGUUGGAGAGGUGCGUCGAUACGGUCUAUGCCGACCGCAGCGGUCGACUACGCGUUCGUACGUCGCGAGAACGUACUUUCCGCAAGGUUAGACUGGUACUAGGUACUAACACGCCGAGAUUGACACUCAGGGUUCGACAAUCAUCCACGCACAGCGGCUCGUUCGCCCGACGACGAGAUGGAUAGCAAAGUGGACGACGAAAAUCAGCGUAGCAUCAAUGAGGGCGAUUGGGUCUGCCCUGAUUCUCAAUGUGCCAAUAUAAAUUUUGCCAGACGGAACUCCUGUAAUCGCUGCGGCAAAGACAGAGGUGAAUGUCCAAAGAAGAAAAAGUUAGGCCAAGAGAUUGGAAAAGCAGCUGCUGAGAAGAGCAGAGGUCUUUUUAGCGCGGAUGACUGGCAAUGUAGUAAAUGUGGUAAUGUAAAUUGGGCCCGCCGGCAACAAUGUAAUAUGUGUAAUGCGCCGAAGUUUGGUGAGAUAGAGGAGCGCACAGGGUACGGAGGUGGAUAUAACGAUCGAGGAGUCGUCGAGUAUAAGGAAAGACGAGACGAGGACGACGAAUACGACGAGUUUGGACGGCGCAAGAAAAAACGGAAACUCGAGAAAAACUCUGACGAUGAUUCCAAGGAUUCCAAGUACAGCAGUCCGUCUCGUAGUAAAUCCAGAAAUAAAGAGGAAAGGGGCAAGGAAAGGGAUAAGGAGGAGCAAGAGGAAAACGAGGACGAAGAGGAUGAUGAGGAAGAGGACGGUGACUUGUCCAAGUACGAUCUCAGUGAGUGGGAUGAUUUAGCGCCAGUCAAGAAAAGCACGAAUGGAAGUACCAUAUCGUUGGAAGUGCAACGGUCAAGGUAAUUAAUAGUGAAAUGGAGAUGAUCGGCGCGGUUCAGGCACGUCCAACCAAUGAAAGAAGCUGUACAGAAGGACAGGUGAACAGGAGAUUCGAAGGGACGUAACCAGCAACUCUCUCGGCAACUAAGAGAUAUACACGACGCAACAAGUUUUAGUAAUUUAGUGUGCACCUUUGAAUAUAAAGUGGCCGAUAAAUACGAUAUGACUUACUACAAACGAAAGUCCACUAACACGAUAAGCUUUACAUUUAUAAUUGAGCUGAUAGCUUCGUUGAUCCCGAGGAGGCAGGUUCACACAUCUUGCCUCCUCAGGAGUGUCUUCUAUUCGCGCGAAUAUAUCGUUAUUAUUCCAAAUGGUUGCAAAGAGUUUACGGGAAACACCUCGGCGCAAGUAGUGUUUCGCUAGUGAAAUAUAACGGUGGAAAUGCUCGACGAUUUCCAACCGGAAUCUAUAGAAGAAAUUGUACACAGCUCGUUUUACAGGCUAAACAUGAUAUUGUAGAAAAAGAUCUUACUCCUACGUAAAACAGAUCAUCAACGUUCUGCGCAAGCAAGAUCGUCGCAGUGCUCUAAAACUCCUAUUACGUUGUUACGAGUCCAUGUCGGUAUAGCUGUGUCACUGCUUCACGUAUUGCUCAAGUUAUCGGAAGAGAAAUUUAAUUUUCCUCUUCUUCCCUUUUGUUCUCUUAUUACGUCUCUGCAUCUUUAUUCAUCUAUUUGAAAUUAAGUACGGAACGUAGCGUUUGGGAAAACAUUUCCCAAACAAAACAAAUUUAUAUAUUGACCUCUUUUUCUUGGGAAAGAAGGAUCGAGGAAGCAAAAGAAUAUACGUUUGCUCGCUUCGGUUUAUCACAGAUUUGAAUAAAUUGGAGUAACAGCCUGUCGUUUCGAAAAAACGUAGCGCAAGAUUGAACGCGAUUUCUUUCACGUGGACGUGAAUUUGUCUCAUAUACACCGACGAUCGUUCUUGAAUUGCAAAACGAUUAUCGAUCAAAUAUCGUACUGACUUCUUGUAAAUAUCUUUAUUUUUCAUUUAUAAUAAAAAUCAUUCAUCAAC